UGGGGAAUAUUGGACAAUGGGCGCAAGGCCUGAUCCAGCCAUGCCGCGUGAGUGAUGAAGGCCUUAGGGUUGUAAACGCUCGUUUCGCCAGGUGAAGAUUAAUGCAGCGGAUAAACCGGGAGAAGGAAGCCCCCGGACCGUAAAACAUUCCCGGUGCCAAGUCCAGCCCGCGGUAAUAACGAAGGGGGCAGUAGCGUUGCUUCGGAAAUCACUGGGCGUAAAGCGCACGUAGGCGGAUCGUUAAGUCAGGGGUGAAAUCCUGGAGCUCAACUCCAGAACUGCCCUUGAUACUGGCGAUCUCGAGUUCGAGAGAGGUUGGUGGAACUCCGAGUGUAGAGGUGAAAUUCGUAGAUAUUCGGAAGAACACCAGUGGCGAAGGCGGCCAACUGGCUCGAUACUGACGCUGAGGUGCGAAAGCGUGGGGAGCAAAACAGGAUUUAGAUACCCCUGGUAGUCCACGCCGUAAAACGAUGGAUGCUAGCCGUUGGGGGUUUGAUCCUCUCAGUGGCGCAGCUAACGCCUUAAGCAUCCCGCCUGGGGAGUACGGUCGCAAGAUUAAAACUCAAAUGAAUUGACGGGGUCAUAGCUGUUUUCCU
RNAcentral lists this ribosomal RNA (596 nucleotides) under uncultured bacterium. RNAcentral's name for it is "partial 16S ribosomal RNA". It matches the Rfam family "Bacterial small subunit ribosomal RNA", at positions 355 to 1375 of the family's 1533-position model. The record is from RNAcentral.